AUUGAACGCUGGCGGCAUGCCUUACACAUGCAAGUCGAACGGUAACGGGCCUUCGGGUGCCGACGAGUGGCGAACGGGUGAGUAAUACAUCGGAACGUGCCCGAUCGUGGGGGAUAACGAGGCGAAAGCUUUGCUAAUACCGCAUACGAUCUACGGAUGAAAGCAGGGGACCGCAAGGCCUUGCGCGGACGGAGCGGCCGAUGGCAGAUUAGGUAGUGGGUGGGAUAAAAGCUUACCAAGCCGACGAUCUGUAGCUGGUCUGAGAGGAUGAUCAGCCACACUGGGACUGAGACACGGCCCAGACUCCUACGGGAGGCAGCAGUGGGGAAUUUUGGACAAUGGGCGCAAGCCUGAUCCAGCCAUGCCGCGUGCAGGAUGAAGGCCUUCGGGUUGUAAACUGCUUUUGUACGGAACGAAAAGCCUUCUUUUAAUACAGGAGGGUCAUGACGGUACCGUAAGAAUAAGCACCGGCUAACUACGUG
Molecule: ribosomal RNA, 482 nt
Filed under: uncultured bacterium
Lineage: Bacteria
Description: partial 16S ribosomal RNA
Rfam family: Bacterial small subunit ribosomal RNA
Source: RNAcentral